UACGGGUGGGGUAAAUGUUAAACAGAUGAUUGGGUGUAAAGCGUUUUUAGGCGGUUGCUGAUAUUUUUUGAAAAAUUUUAAAUAAGAUUUUAGACAAAAUAAAAAUAAAUUAGUAACUUGAGUAUGAAAAAAAUAGGAAGAUUUUUCCUGCCAUAAGUAAGAUCAGAAAUUUGAAAAGGAAUGCCAAUUGGCGAAAGCAGCUUAUUUGUUCAUCACUGACGUUGUCAAACUAAAGCUUUGGUAUCAAACGGG
Molecule: ribosomal RNA, 252 nt
Filed under: uncultured bacterium
Lineage: Bacteria
Description: partial 16S ribosomal RNA
Rfam family: Bacterial small subunit ribosomal RNA
Source: RNAcentral